GGCUGCAACUCGCCUACAUGAAGUCGGAAUUGCUAGUAAUCGCGGAUCAGCAUGCCGCGGUGAAUACGUUCCCGGGUCUUGUACACACCGCCCGUCACACCAUGGGAGCCGGUAAUACCCGAAGUCAGUAGUCUAACCGCAAGGAGGACGCUGCCGAAGGUAGGAUUGGCGACUGGGGUGAAGUCGUAACAAGGUAAC
This 198-nucleotide ribosomal RNA is filed under the name uncultured bacterium. RNAcentral describes it as "partial 16S ribosomal RNA". It matches the Rfam family "Bacterial small subunit ribosomal RNA", at positions 1303 to 1500 of the family's 1533-position model. The record is from RNAcentral.